This 2274-nucleotide long non-coding RNA is filed under the name Salmo salar (Atlantic salmon). RNAcentral describes it as "lncRNA (ENSSSAG00000082715.1, ENSSSAG00000115018.1)". The record is from RNAcentral. Lineage: Eukaryota; Metazoa; Chordata; Actinopteri; Salmoniformes; Salmonidae.
GUAAAGGAGGUGCAGCGGUUCUUAGGGUUUGCCAACUACUACCGGAGGUUUAUCUGAGGCUUUGGUCAGGUAGCGGCUCCCAUUACCUCCUUGUUGAAGGGGGGACUGGUGCGACUGCAGUGGUCAGCUGGGGCGGACAGGGCUUUUGGUCACCUGAAGGCUCUGUUUACCUCGGCUCCCGUGCUGGCUCAUCCUGAUCCCUCCUUGGCAUUUAUAGUAGAGGUGGACGCGUCUGAGGCUGGGAUAGGAGCUGUGCUGUCUCGGUGCUCAGGUACGCCACCAAAGCUCCGCCCCUGUGCUUUCUUUUCGAAGAAACUCAGCCCGGCGGAGCGAAACUAUGAUGUGGGGCUCUGAAGGCUCUGAAGGCGUGGAGACAUUGGCUUGAGGGGGCUAAACACCCUUUCCUCAUCUGGACUGACCACUGCAAUCUGGAGUACAUCCGGGUGACGAGGAGACUGAACCCUCGCCAGGCAAGAAUCUGGUGUUGAGGUGAAUGCUGUGAGGAAGAGCCGUCGGUAUGAGGUAGAGCUUCCUGGACACAGUCUGGAGAUGAUCCUAUUGAGAUGGAGCCUAGAUGAGGUAUAUUCACAGCUGCCACCCCAGCCUGAAAUGGGACCACCGCUGUUGUGAGGAGAUUUGAAGAUAUUAAAGUGAAAGCAAUAAAUGACAUGAUAUCAUACAAUGUUCACAGGUGUCAAUUAGUACAAUUUUGAAAUCUCAAAACUUUAAGACAAACCAGUAGACUGAAUACUUUCUAGUAGGCCAUUUUAAUUCCACUAGCUUUACUUACUGCUAUUUACAGGCACAGUUGAUUCCACGUGGUUGUUCUGAAUUCUAAAAAGAAAAAAAAGUAGACCUAGGUAUAAAAGAUUGGUUCAUUUUUCAAGACACCUUAAGGUUCCUUACCAUCACCAAAUUCCAAUCACUAAAACAAAUACACAGACAACUCACAAGGCUGUGAUGUUCCAUUCCCAAGGAAGAAAAUGGUUUUCAUAAUACACCUCUGUCUUGGUGCCAGAUUGGUCUUCUUUACAUUGUUGUGGGAUCUAGAAAAAUAGUCAUAGCCACCUAUUUGAUGUUACAGCAAAUAUAAGCUAAUUGAGUUACACAUUAAUUUAAUCUGUUAUUGUAACAUUUGAAAUUCAGUGAUGAGUAGUUGGACAGUUCAGUAGCUGAAAUCAAUAACGUUAGAGGUUGGUGAGGAUGGCAAUUGUUAUGAUUCUGACACUCAGAGGGGCCAGCAUCUUUAUUUUUCUCAUGCUGUUCCUCACUCUGGGUCUGCAACAUUACAAAAUGCAUUCCUAGCUUUAAUAUCCUCUGUACUGAAUAAAACAUAAUGGAAGUGAAAACUAAGUCUCAAACAAGCUUGAGGGUCAAUUUCCUCGAUCAUAUAGUUAAAUUGUUGUAGUUUACUCAUUUGAAACUCAAUGGCCUUUAGCAGUUCUGCGUGUGUUGGUUACCUGGCCAAAACUGACUUAAACUGUGGUCUGCUCUGAGGGAUGAAUGGUCCCUAUAGUCUACAGUUUUGUCAAACCUCCCGUCUACACUAUUGGGCAAAAUUACAAAAUGUUGUAAAAUGAUAGCAAAAAUGCUAUAUAGUUUUGUUAUUAGCUUCCACUUGUUGAGUAGCAUAGCACAAACAACAUGCUGUUGACAUUCUCUUAGACAAAAAUCUACAUGCAUGCAUGCACAUAGCCUAUGUUGAAUGAAUGUCAAUGUUCUUAAUUUCUAUAUGUACAAAAAAAUACAUAAAAAUAGUAUUUCGAAAGACAAAACAUUACCUUUUUGGAAUUGAAGCAUGUAUUCCCCAUGUUUUGUAUUCGGUGUGGAAACGGAAAGGGAUUUCCCACAAACCUACGUCAGUACGUUGCCUGUACGUUUGGCGUCACUGUGCGUCAUUUCAUCUUAACUCGUAGUAUUUAGUAACUAUGUAACAAACCGUAUAUAUUUUUAAGACAUUUAUGUAUUUUGAGUGUUUAACAUAUCAAUAAUUUAAGAUAUUUAACUGAUUGAAACCAUACAGUUCAUCAGCUUCCUUACCUUGGGGUGGUUCUCUUCUCCAAACUUAGUCUUGUUGACAUGAAUCCUUGAGUAAGUUACUUACUGUGCCAAAUGUUGUUCAUUGUCCUAUUCCCGAGUCAAAUAAGGCUGUAUAUGGUAUGUCUGGGAGCUUUUGAAAAAGUAUUCUUCCAACUAAAAUCCGGUUUCGCUUGAAGGAGUGUCCUCCUUCAAUGAUAGAUAAGAGGAAGACACUUAUGGGAUAUGAAGAUGACG